AACUUAAAUGAAUUGACGGGGAGCACCACAACGGGUGGAGCUUGCGGUUUAAUUGGAUUCAACGCCGGAAAUCUUACCGGGACCGACAGCAAUAUGAAGGCCAGGCUGAAGACUUUACCGGAUUAGCUGAGAGGUGGUGCAUGGCCGUCGUCAGUUCGUACUGUGAAGCAUCCUGUUAAGUCAGGCAACGAGCGAGACCCACGCCCACAGUUGCCAGCGUACUCUCUGGAGUGACGGGUACACUGUGGGACCGCCGCUGCUAAAGCGGAGGAAGGAAUGGGCAACGGUAGGUCAGUAUGCCCCGAAUAUCCCGGGCUACACGCGAGCUACAAUGGUUGGUACAAUGGGUAUCUACCCCGAAAGGGGACGGGAAUCUCCUAAAACCAAUCUUAGUUCGGAUUGAGGGCUGCAACUCGCCCUCAUGAAGCUGGAAUCCGUAGUAAUCGCGUUUCAACAGAACGCGGUGAAUACGUCCCUGCUCCUU
This 484-nucleotide ribosomal RNA is filed under the name uncultured Methanosaeta sp. RNAcentral's name for it is "bacterial SSU rRNA". It matches the Rfam family "Archaeal small subunit ribosomal RNA", at positions 853 to 1338 of the family's 1478-position model. The record is from RNAcentral. Lineage: Archaea; Methanobacteriati; Methanobacteriota; Methanomicrobia; Methanotrichales; Methanotrichaceae.